UCGGGAAUUUUGGGCAAUGGGCGAAAGCCUGACCCAGCAACGCCGCGUGAAGGAUGAAGUAUUUCGGUAUGUAAACUUCGAAAGAAUAGGAAGAAUAAAUGACGGUACUAUUUAUAAGGUCCGGCUAACUACGUGCCAGCAGCCGCGGUAAUACGUAGGGACCAAGCGUUGUUCGGAUUUACUGGGCGUAAAGGGCGCGUAGGCGGCAAUUCAAGUCAUCUGUGAAAUCUCCGGACUUAACUCGGAACGGUCAGGUGAUACUGCUUUGCUAGAGUGCAGAAGGGGCAAUCGGAAUUCUUGGUGUAGCGGUGAAAUGCGUAGAUAUCAAGAGGAACACCUGAGGUGAAGACGGGUUGCUGGGCUGACACUGACGCUGAGGCGCGAAAGCCAGGGGAGCAAACGGGAUUAGAUACCCAUGUAGUCCCUGAGCGGGCUGGCAAGGCGCAU
Molecule: ribosomal RNA, 447 nt
Filed under: uncultured bacterium
Lineage: Bacteria
Description: bacterial SSU rRNA
Rfam family: Bacterial small subunit ribosomal RNA
Source: RNAcentral